This is a long non-coding RNA of Scleropages formosus (Asian bonytongue), 437 nucleotides long. RefSeq lists it as uncharacterized. The record is from RefSeq and is a predicted model, not a curated record. Lineage: Eukaryota; Metazoa; Chordata; Actinopteri; Osteoglossiformes; Osteoglossidae. The transcript has 3 exons.
UUAUUUUUUAUUAUUUAAUACUACACUGAUCACUUAUUGUACUUCCAGACGGAGAAGGUGUUACCGGAAAUAUCGCGGAAAUGGCGGGAAAACUGAAAGCUGUAGAAAUGAGUUCUAUUUUGCAGAGGCUUAAUAGCAUCAACAGUGUCCUUGACUCCAAUGUGGCAGCACUCGUAAGGAGCCAGGAGCAGCUCGGCAAAGCAGAAGAAACCCAGAAACACUUCAAUAAGAGUCUAAAACCAUUGUUUGAUGCCUUUGUACCACAAGAAGAACCGGCUUCAUCAUCGGCAACGCUUAAGUGAGAAGUCCGAGUUGGAAACAUUUUGGAAAUUGAUUUUCAUCACCCCCCCCCCCCGUUUUUCUUUACAUGGGAAAUCAAAUGUAAUGCUAAUAAAACUAUGUGCACAAGUUGCUCGUGUUACCACUUUGUAGAAUUU